This 253-nucleotide ribosomal RNA is filed under the name uncultured bacterium. RNAcentral describes it as "partial 16S ribosomal RNA". It matches the Rfam family "Bacterial small subunit ribosomal RNA", at positions 524 to 776 of the family's 1533-position model. The record is from RNAcentral.
UACGAAGGGGGCUAGCGUUGUUCGGAAUUACUGGGCGUAAAGGGCGCGUAGGCGGUGUGUCAAGUCAGGCGUGAAAGCCCGGGGCUCAACCUGGGAACCGCGCUUGAGACUGGCACGCUAGAGUUCGGGAGAGGAUGGUGGAAUUCCCAGUGUAGAGGUGAAAUUCGUAGAUAUUGGGAAGAACACCGAUGGCGAAGGCAGCCAUCUGGACCGACACUGACGCUGAGGCGCGAAAGCGUGGGGAGCAAACAGG